UACGUAGGGUGCGAGCGUUAAUCGGAAUUACUGGGCGUAAAGCGUGCGCAGGCGGUUUGGUAAGGCAGAUGGGAAAUUCCCGGGCUUAACCUGGGAACUGCAUUUGUGACUGCCAAGCUAGAGUGCGGCAGAGGGGAGUGGAAUUCCGGGUGUAGCAGUGAAAUGCGUAGAUAUGCGGAGGAACGCCGAUGGCGAAGGCAACUCCCUGGGCCUGCCCUGACGCUCAUGCACGAAAGCGUGGGGAGCAAACAGG
Molecule: ribosomal RNA, 253 nt
Filed under: uncultured bacterium
Lineage: Bacteria
Description: partial 16S ribosomal RNA
Rfam family: Bacterial small subunit ribosomal RNA
Source: RNAcentral